GCUUACGGCCACACCUGCCUGAGUACGCCUGAUCUCUUCCGAUCUCGGAAGCUAAGCAGGCGUGCCUGGUUAGUACUUGGAUGGGAGACCGCUCGGGAAUACAGGUGCUGUAAGCU
Molecule: ribosomal RNA, 116 nt
Filed under: Oncorhynchus mykiss (rainbow trout)
Lineage: Eukaryota; Metazoa; Chordata; Actinopteri; Salmoniformes; Salmonidae
Source: RNAcentral